UCCGCAGUUGAGAUGACACUG
This 21-nucleotide microRNA is filed under the name Picea abies (Norway spruce). RNAcentral's name for it is "pab-miR391g". Its record names the gene pab-miR391g. Lineage: Eukaryota; Viridiplantae; Streptophyta; Pinopsida; Pinales; Pinaceae. The record is from miRBase by way of RNAcentral.